GCAAUGGACGAAAGUCUGACGGAGCAACGCCGCGUGAGUGAAGAAGGUUUUCGGAUCGUAAAACUCUGUUGUUAGGGAAGAACAAGUGCCGUUCGAAUAGGGCGGCACCUUGACGGUACCUAACCAGAAAGCCACGGCUAACUACGUGCCAGCAGCCGCGGUAAUACGUAGGUGGCAAGCGUUGUCCGGAAUUAUUGGGCGUAAAGCGCGCGCAGGUGGUUUCUUAAGUCUGAUGUGAAAGCCCACGGCUCAACCGUGGAGGGUCAUUGGAAACUGGGGAACUUGAGUGCAGAAGAGGAAAGUGGAAUUCCAAGUGUAGCGGUGAAAUGCGUAGAUAUUUGGAGGAACACCAGUGGCGAAGGCGACUUUCUGGUCUGUAACUGACACUGAGGCGCGAAAGCGUGGGGAGCAAACAGGAUUAGAUACCCUGGUAGUCCACGCCGUAAACGAUGAGUGCUAAGUGUUAGAGGGUUUCCGCCCUUUAGUGCUGCAGCUAACGCAUUAAGCACUCCG
This 513-nucleotide ribosomal RNA is filed under the name uncultured bacterium. RNAcentral describes it as "bacterial SSU rRNA". It matches the Rfam family "Bacterial small subunit ribosomal RNA", at positions 368 to 871 of the family's 1533-position model. The record is from RNAcentral.